Dromaius novaehollandiae (emu) is the source of this 356-nucleotide long non-coding RNA. RefSeq lists it as uncharacterized. NCBI's taxonomy places the organism in Eukaryota, Metazoa, Chordata, Aves, Casuariiformes, Dromaiidae. The transcript is spliced from 3 exons. The record is from RefSeq and is a predicted model, not a curated record.
CGUGGGCCGUUAGAAAAGCGCGGGAAGAGCUCCUGCUUGCUGUCAGCGCCUGUCCUCAGCACGGCCCUGAGCGCCUCAGCUUCCCCCCCGGCCUGCUGCCUCAGCCAGGGCCCGGCAUAAGGGAAGGCGUCGGGCCUGAGCCUCCCCGGGCAGCAGGGACAUUUUGCUGCAACAUCAGUUGAAUGAUGCAUCUCUUUGUAUCCCCUACGCGUUACCUGUGAGCAUGGAACUGACUUCAUGUAAGGAAUGUAUCCCUCUCCUUACUCUAAAGGAGUAGAGUUAAGAGCCAUGAAUUUCAGAGGCUGGCAGGUAAACUUCAAUGCAUCCACUUAAACAACAAUCAAUAACCUACCCUA